CUCUCUCUCUCUCUCUCUCUCUUUCUUUUCUUCUCCUUUUUUACUGCUACAUCCUUCACAACAUACACCACAAAAAAAUAUCUAAACAUAAAAUAUCUACUCUCUCUCUCUACAUCAUCAAACCGCCCAACCUUUCUUUCUUUCUUUCAUGAACAUCUACAACCUCACUCAUUUUCUUACUAACACAUAUUCUCUCUGUUAAAACUACAACAACAACUUCAUUUAAACCAACUAAAAAAAAACCAUAACCAUCUUCAUCACCAUCAUCACUACUUUAACUAUAUAAAACUCUUCACUCUCCACAAACACACAUUUUUUCUUCAAACACCACAACUUCUUACAACUACCAUCAUCAACCUCACCUAACUCAUUUCAUCUCACUACACCAUAACAACAACAACAUCUACAACCACAACAUCAAACUUACCACAACAACCUUAAACUCAUCAUCAUAUUUCUAUAAGUUGGAAGCUUUUUUUGUUUCAUUUCAAGAGAGAAAGAGAGAGGUUAACGAACGAAAGAGGACAGAUCGGGAGAGUGGGGGCGCCACCGCACCGCCACCGGUCGGUCGACCACCCUUGUGGUGUUUUCCAUCGAUAUUUGAUCGGAAGGGAUGGAGAGGUUUUUACCUCUGUUACUGUUAUUUUUUCAUGAAAGGAGAUGCCACUAUUUUGUUUUUUCUAAAUAUUUUUUCACAUCCUCCUGCCACAUGUCAACGCAUGUGUGGGGGGUCAAAGUUGUUUUUUUCUUUUCCAAAUAAAUCUCCAAACUAGUAACUUCCACUGCUAGUAAGUUUGUGUUCUCUUCUUUUAUUUAUUUAUUUAUUAUUAUUAUUAUUAUUAUUA
Molecule: long non-coding RNA, 845 nt
Organism: Lathyrus oleraceus (garden pea)
Lineage: Eukaryota; Viridiplantae; Streptophyta; Magnoliopsida; Fabales; Fabaceae
Exons: 2
Source: RefSeq, a predicted model, not a curated record